GCACCCGUAGCUCAAUGGAUAGAGUAGCUGACUUCGAAUCAGUUGGUUGGGGGUUCGAGUCCCUCCGGGUGCGCCA
RNAcentral lists this transfer RNA (76 nucleotides) under Anaerolineaceae bacterium 4572_5.1. RNAcentral's name for it is "tRNA-Arg". It matches the Rfam family "tRNA". From Rfam's summary of the family: Transfer RNA (tRNA) molecules are approximately 80 nucleotides in length. Their secondary structure includes four short double-helical elements and three loops (D, anti-codon, and T loops). Further hydrogen bonds mediate the characteristic L-shaped molecular structure. tRNAs have two regions of fundamental functional importance: the anti-codon, which is responsible for specific mRNA codon recognition, and the 3' end, to which the tRNAs corresponding amino acid is attached (by aminoacyl-tRNA synthetases). tRNAs cope with the degeneracy of the genetic code in two manners: having more than one tRNA (with a specific anti-codon) for a particular amino acid; and 'wobble' base-pairing, i.e. permitting non-standard base-pairing at the 3rd anti-codon position. The record is from RNAcentral. Lineage: Bacteria; Bacillati; Chloroflexota; Anaerolineae; Anaerolineales; Anaerolineaceae.